Molecule: long non-coding RNA, 329 nt
Organism: Oncorhynchus tshawytscha (Chinook salmon)
Lineage: Eukaryota; Metazoa; Chordata; Actinopteri; Salmoniformes; Salmonidae
Source: Ensembl
AGGCUAGUUGAGAACACCUUUAUUUAACCAGGUAGGCUAGUUGAGAACACCUUUAUUUAACCAGGUAAGCUAGUUGAGGAGACCUUUAUUUAACCAGGUAGGCCAGUUGAGAACACCUUUAUUUAACCAGGUAAGCUAGUUGAGGAGACCUUUAUUUAACCAGGUAGGCCAGUUGAGAACACCUUUAUUUAACCAGGUAAGCUAGUUGAGGAGACCUUUAUUUAACCAGGUAGGCCAGUUGAGAACACCUUUAUUUAACCAGGUAGGCCAGUUGAGAACACCUUUAUUUAACCAGGUAGGCCAGUUGAGAACACCUUUAUUUAACCAGG